RNAcentral lists this ribosomal RNA (232 nucleotides) under uncultured bacterium. RNAcentral's name for it is "partial 16S ribosomal RNA". It matches the Rfam family "Bacterial small subunit ribosomal RNA", at positions 99 to 334 of the family's 1533-position model. The record is from RNAcentral.
CGGACGGGUGAGUAAUGCUUGGGAAUCUAGCUUAUGGAGGGGGAUAACUAUGGGAAACUGUAGCUAAUACCGCGUAGAAUCGGGAGAUGAAAGUGUGGGACCUUCGGGCCACAUGCCAUAGGAUGAGCCCAAGUGGGAUUAGGUAGUUGGUGAGGUAAAGGCUCACCAAGCCGACGAUCUCUAGCUGGUCUGAGAGGGUGACCGGCCACAUUGGGACUGAGACACGGCCCAA